UACAGAGGUCUCAAGCGUUGUUCGGAUUCAUUGGGCGUAAAGGGUGUGUAGGUGGCGCGCUAAGUCGGGUGUGAAAUUUCGGAGCUUAACUCCGAAACUGCAUCCGAUACUGCGUGGCUAGAGGUAGGUAGGGGAGAUCGGAAUUCCUGGUGUAGCGGUGAAAUGCGCAGAUAUCAGGAGGAACACCGGUGGCGAAGGCGGAUCUCUGGGCCUUACCUGACGCUCAGGCACGAAAGCUAGGGGAGCGAACAGG
RNAcentral lists this ribosomal RNA (253 nucleotides) under uncultured bacterium. RNAcentral's name for it is "partial 16S ribosomal RNA". It matches the Rfam family "Bacterial small subunit ribosomal RNA", at positions 524 to 776 of the family's 1533-position model. The record is from RNAcentral.